RNAcentral lists this ribosomal RNA (301 nucleotides) under uncultured bacterium. RNAcentral's name for it is "partial 16S ribosomal RNA". It matches the Rfam family "Bacterial small subunit ribosomal RNA", at positions 509 to 807 of the family's 1533-position model. The record is from RNAcentral.
CAGUCGCCACGGGAAUACAGAGGGUGCGAGCGUUAAUCGGAUUUACUGGGCGUAAAGCGUGCGUAGGCGGCUUUUUAAGUCGGAUGUGAAAUCCCUGAGCUUAACUUAGGAAUUGCAUUCGAUACUGGGAAGCUAGAGUAUGGGAGAGGAUGGUAGAAUUCCAGGUGUAGCGGUGAAAUGCGUAGAGAUCUGGAGGAAUACCGAUGGCGAAGGCAGCCAUCUGGCCUAAUACUGACGCUGAGGUACGAAAGCAUGGGGAGCAAACAGGAUUAGAUACCCCCGUAGUCCCUGUCUCUUAUAC